Molecule: ribosomal RNA, 449 nt
Filed under: uncultured bacterium
Lineage: Bacteria
Description: partial 16S ribosomal RNA
Rfam family: Bacterial small subunit ribosomal RNA
Source: RNAcentral
AACGAACGCUGGCGGCAUGCCUAAUACAUGCAGGUCGAACGAUCACUUCGGUGGCAGUGGCGCACGGGUGCGUAACGCGUGGGAAUCUGCCCUUGGGUUCGGAAUAACGCCGGGAAACUGACGCUAAUACCGGAUGAUGACGUAAGUCCAAAGAUUUAUCGCCCAGGGAUGAGCCCGCGUAGGAUUAGCUAGUUGGUGGGGUAAAGGCUUACCAAGGCGACGAUCCUUAGCUGGUCUGAGAGGAUGAUCAGCCACACUGGGACUGAGACACGGCCCAGACUCCUACGGGAGGCAGCAGUAGGGAAUAUUGGACAAUGGGGGCAACCCUGAUCCAGCAAUGCCGCGUGAGUGAUGAAGGCCUUAGGGUUGUAAAGCUCUUUUACCCGGGAUGAUAAUGACAGUACCGGGAGAAUAAGCCCCGGCUAACUCCGUGCCAGCCGCCGCCGUAA